GGCGGCGUAGCCAAGUGGUAAGGCUGUAGCCUGCAAAGCUUCGACCCCCGGUUCGAAUCCGGGCGCCGCCUCCA
RNAcentral lists this transfer RNA (74 nucleotides) under Helicobacteraceae bacterium. Its description in RNAcentral is "tRNA-Cys". It matches the Rfam family "tRNA". From Rfam's summary of the family: Transfer RNA (tRNA) molecules are approximately 80 nucleotides in length. The record is from RNAcentral. Lineage: Bacteria; Pseudomonadati; Campylobacterota; Epsilonproteobacteria; Campylobacterales; Helicobacteraceae.